GGGUGACCCGGGUUCGAUCCCCGGC
This 25-nucleotide non-coding RNA is filed under the name Arabidopsis thaliana (thale cress). Lineage: Eukaryota; Viridiplantae; Streptophyta; Magnoliopsida; Brassicales; Brassicaceae. The record is from RNAcentral.